RNAcentral lists this ribosomal RNA (481 nucleotides) under uncultured bacterium. Its description in RNAcentral is "partial 16S ribosomal RNA". It matches the Rfam family "Bacterial small subunit ribosomal RNA", at positions 28 to 523 of the family's 1533-position model. The record is from RNAcentral.
GACGAACGCUGGCGGCGUGCUUAACACAUGCAAGUCGAACGGAAAGGCCCUGCUUGAAGGGUACUCGAGUGGCGAACGGGUGAGUAACACGUGGGUGAUCUGACCUGCACUUCGGGAUAAGCCGGGGAAACUGGGUCUAAUAGCGGAUAGGAGCCAUUUUUAGUGUGAUGGGUGGAAAGUUUUUUCGGUGUAGGAUGAGCUCGCGGCCUAUCAGCUUGUUGGUGGGGUAAUGGCCUACCAAGGCGGCGGCGGGUAGCCGGCCUGGGAGGGUGGGCGGCCACAUUGGGACUGAGAUACGGCCCAGACUCCUACGGGAGGCAGCAGUGGGGAAUAUUGCACAAUGGGCGCAAGCCUGAUGCAGCGACGCCGCGUGGGGGAUGACAGCCUUCGGGUUGUAAACUCCUUUCGCUAGGGACGAAGCUUUUUGUGACGGUACCUAGAUAAGAAGCACCGGCUAACUACGUGCCAGCCGCCGCCGUAA